AUGCCUCAACUAGAUAAAUUCACUUAUUUCACACAAUUCUUCUGGUCAUGCCUUUUCCUCUUUACUUUCUAUAAUCCUAUAUGCAAUGAUGGAGAUGGAGUACUUGGGAUCAGCAGAAUUCUAAAACUACGGAACCAACUGGUUUCACACUAGGAAAACAAGAUCCGGAGCAACGACCCCAACAGUUUGGAAGAUAUCUUGAGAAAAGGAUUUAGCACCGGUGUAUCCUAUAUGUACUCAAGUUUAUUCGAAGUAUCCCAAUGGUGUAACGCCGUCGACUUCUUAGGAAAAAGGAGGAAGAUGACUUUAAUCUCUUGUUUCGGAGAAAUAAGUGGCUCACGAGGAAUGGAUAGAAACAUAUUCUAUUUGAUCUCUAAGUCCAUACAUAGCAAUCCUGGGUGGGUCAUCACUUGUAAGAAUAACAUAAUUCUAAUCCAUGUUCCACACUGCCAAGGAAGCAUCGGUUUUUAAUCUCAUUAUGACUUAGUCGUUCGGAAGAGCAAUUAAUUCGAUCAGAAUAGUGGAAUCGAAGGCAAUAAAAGAAUGAAAUACUCAUUUCUUUUCCAAUCGCCCCGUGAAGACAGACGCUCGAAAAGGUUCUCGAGAUUCUCAAUCGCUCUUUUUAGUGGGGAGGAAUAGUGCGGGAAGGGGCAAGACCAAGCCGAGCCACUAGUAGAGUAAGUCCUUCCCACGUGUCAAGUUGAAUAUUAAUAAAUGAAUGCAGCCUCAACCAAAGAGAUCAACCUACACCUUUGAGUUGAGGCCGCUGGUGGCACAGAACGAACUAAUUCGCCACUAGUAAGUUUUCUGAAAGCGAAUUGAAUGGAAUUGUUCGUCGGUCAAACCAACGAUUCUCUUCUCAAAUUAAUAGAGAGAGUCUUUUUUCUAGUUAGACUUCUAUCAAUGGAAUGAAAGAACAAUCCCUUCCUAUUUCUUUUUUUGUCCUGUCAGAUAGAAAGAAAAUUAGACCCCAAAGAGCCCUUCUUUACUUUACUACUUUAGGGGGUGGGGGUGAAGGGGGGGUUUACAUAGAACCGAGGCAAAGUGGUUUAUGAUUGAAUCUCAGAGGUAUUCUUAACAUUUGGUAGAUCCAAGUCCAUGGCUUAUUUUGGGUUCACUCGGAGCAUUGGAAACAACCUUAGUAGGUGUGAUGUACAUGCACUCAUUUCAAGGGAGUGCAACACUUCUCAGUUUGGGCGUCAUAUUUCUCCUAUAUACCAUGUUCGUAUGGUGGCGCGAUGUUCUACGUGAAUCCACGUUCGAAGGACAUCAUACCAAAGUCGUACAAUUAGGACCUCGAUAUGGUUUUAUUCUAUUUAUCGUAUCGGAGGUUAUGUUCUAUUUUGC
Molecule: RNA transcript, 1347 nt
Organism: Solanum stenotomum
Lineage: Eukaryota; Viridiplantae; Streptophyta; Magnoliopsida; Solanales; Solanaceae
Gene name: putative ATP synthase protein YMF19
Exons: 1
Source: RefSeq, a predicted model, not a curated record